Molecule: ribosomal RNA, 433 nt
Filed under: uncultured bacterium
Lineage: Bacteria
Description: partial 16S ribosomal RNA
Rfam family: Bacterial small subunit ribosomal RNA
Source: RNAcentral
AACGAACGCUGGCGGCAUGCCUAACACAUGCAAGUCGAACGAGACCUUCGGGUAUUGUGGCGCACGGGUGCGUAACGCGUGGGAACCUGCCCUUAGGUUCGGAAUAACUCCCCGCAAGGGGUGCUAAUACCGGAUAAUGUCUUCGGACCAAAGAUUUAUCGCCUUUGGAUGGGCCCGCGUUGGAUUAGCAAGUUGGUAGGGUAAAAGCCUACCAAGGCGACGAUCCAUAGCUGGUCUGAGAGGAUGAUCAGCCACACUGGGACUGGGACACGGCCCAGACUCCUACGGGAGGCAGCAGUGGGGAAUAUGAGACAAUGGGCGAAAGACUGAUCCAGCAGUGCCGCGUGAGUGAUGAAGGCCUUAGGGUUGUAAAGCUCUUUUACCCGGGAUGAUAAUGACGGUACCGGGAGAAUAAGCUCCGGCUAACUCCGUG